Molecule: ribosomal RNA, 578 nt
Filed under: Phaenoserphus viator
Lineage: Eukaryota; Metazoa; Arthropoda; Insecta; Hymenoptera; Proctotrupidae
Description: SSU rRNA
Rfam family: Eukaryotic small subunit ribosomal RNA
Source: RNAcentral
GAGCUGAGAAACGGCUACCACAUCCAAGGAAGGCAGCAGGCGCGCAAAUUACCCACUCCCGGCACGGGGAGGUAGUGACGAAAAAUAACGAUACGGGACUCAUCCGAGGCCCCGUAAUCGGAAUGAGUACACUUUAAAUCCUUUCACGAGGAGCAAUUGGAGGGAAAGUCUGGUGCCAGCAGCCGCGGUAAUUCAGCUCCAAUAGCGUAUAUUAAAGUUGUUGCGGUUAAAAAGCUCGUAGUUGAAUCUGUGUGCCACGCUGACGGUGCUCCGCUCGCGGCGAAACUGAUCAGAUUGUGGCACGUCCUACCGGUGGGCUUAGCUCCUCAGGGAGCGGUCCAACUUAUAUCCCAUCGCGGUGCUCUUCACUGAGUGCUGAGGUGGGCCGGUACGUUUACUUUGAACAAAUUAGAGUGCUCAAAGCAGGCUAUUUUCGCCUGAAUACUGUGUGCAUGGAAUAAUGGAAUAGGACCUCGGUUCUAUUUUGUUGGUUUUCGGAACCCCGAGGUAAUGAUUAAUAGGGACAGAUGGGGGCAUUCGUAUUGCGACGUUAGAGGUGAAAUUCUUGGAUCGUCGCA